AGAGAGAGAGGGAGAGAGAGAGGAGAGACUCCCCGGCUCCCUCCCUCCCUCGCACACAGCGACUGGAGACGGACGGAGAGCAACGCGCUGGGAGAGGAGAGACCACCGACAACAGCCCCGCGCUCUCACACAUACACUCACACUCGGCUCUUUCCUCUCCCCCCACCUCCUCCUCCUUCCACCCCCACCACUAACACCAUCUCCUCCUCCUUCUCUCUGCAACAAGAAAAAAAAAGCCAUUUACAGGUAUUUUUUUUUGAUCCGCAUAUUUAUUUACCCCCCUCCCCAACAGUUUGUUUACAAGUAUUAAAGUUGUAAUUGGGAGCUGCCAAGACACAUCUGGAUUUGUGUUUCUUUGUGUUAGGGGUGAUG
This 372-nucleotide long non-coding RNA is filed under the name Marmota monax (woodchuck). The record is from RNAcentral. Lineage: Eukaryota; Metazoa; Chordata; Mammalia; Rodentia; Sciuridae.